Molecule: ribosomal RNA, 460 nt
Filed under: uncultured bacterium
Lineage: Bacteria
Description: partial 16S ribosomal RNA
Rfam family: Bacterial small subunit ribosomal RNA
Source: RNAcentral
CCUACGGGUGGCAGCAGUGAGGAAUAUUGGUCAAUGGGCGCAAGCCUGAACCAGCCAAGUCGCGUGAGGGAAGACGGCCCUACGGGUUGUAAACCUCUUUUGCCGGGGAGCAGGCCUGAGCACGUGUGCCCAGGCGGAGAGUACCCGGAGACAAAGCAUCGGCUAACUCCGUGCCAGCAGCCGCGGUAAUACGGAGGAUGCGAGCGUUAUCCGGAUUUAUUGGGUUAAAAGGGUGCGCAGGCGGGCUGUUAAGCCGGCGGUAAAAAUUCAGGGCUCAACCAUGUCGGGCCGUCGGAACUGGCAGCCUUGAGUGGGCGAGAAGUAUGCGGAAUGCGUGGUGUAGCGGUGAAAUGCAUAGAGAUCACGCAGAACGCCGAUUGCGAAGGCAGCACACCGGCGGCAGACUGACGCUGAGGCACGAAAGCGUGGGGAGCGAACAGGAUUAGAUACCCGAGUAGUC